RNAcentral lists this unclassified non-coding RNA (336 nucleotides) under soil metagenome. RNAcentral's name for it is "partial contains 5.8S ribosomal RNA, internal transcribed spacer 2, and large subunit ribosomal RNA". The stretch from base 1 to 120 matches the Rfam family "5.8S ribosomal RNA", at positions 35 to 154 of the family's 154-position model. The record is from RNAcentral.
GAUGAAGAACGUAGCGAAAUGCGAUAAGUAGUGUGAAUUGCAGAAUUCAGUGAAUCAUCGAAUCUUUGAACGCACAUUGCGCCCCUUGGUAUUCCAUGGGGCAUGCCUGUUCGAGCAUCAUUUGUACCUUCAAGCUCUGCUUGGUGUUGGGUGUUUGUCUCGCCUCUGCGUGUAGACUCGCCUCAAAACAAUUGGCAGCCGGCGUAUUGAUUUCGGAGCGCAGUACAUCUCGCGCUUUGCACUCAUAACGACGACGUCCAAAAGUACAUUUUACACUCUUGACCUCGGAUCAGGUAGGGAUACCCGCUGAACUUAAGCAUAUCAAUAAGCGGAGGA